This 117-nucleotide ribosomal RNA is filed under the name Carassius auratus (goldfish). Lineage: Eukaryota; Metazoa; Chordata; Actinopteri; Cypriniformes; Cyprinidae. The record is from RNAcentral.
GCUUACGACAUACCAGCCUGGCUAUGCCCGAUCUCGUCUGAUCUCGGAAGCUAAGCAGGUUUGGGCCUGGUUAGUACUUGAUGGGAGACCGCCUGGGAAUACCAGGUGCUGUAAGCA